RNAcentral lists this transfer RNA (92 nucleotides) under Nocardia asteroides. RNAcentral describes it as "tRNA-???(cg)". The record is from RNAcentral. Lineage: Bacteria; Bacillati; Actinomycetota; Actinomycetes; Mycobacteriales; Nocardiaceae.
GGGUCGUGCGGCAACGGCGCGGCCAUGCGGGUCGCCCCGCUCGGGGCGUACUUCGCCGACGACCCGGCGCGGAUCGUGUCCGAGGCGAUCCG